This is a long non-coding RNA of Acinonyx jubatus (cheetah), 2001 nucleotides long. RefSeq lists it as uncharacterized. The transcript is spliced from 3 exons. Lineage: Eukaryota; Metazoa; Chordata; Mammalia; Carnivora; Felidae. The record is from RefSeq and is a predicted model, not a curated record.
GAAUCCCAAGAGGGGCUCUGCGCUGUCAGCCCAGAGGCCGAUGCGGGGCUAAUCCCACAAACUAUGAGAUCAUGACCUGAGCUGAAAUCAAGAGUUGGAUGCUUAACUGACUGAGCCACCCAGGUGCCCUGGAAUCUAAUCUUAACCAAUUCAAGCAUGUAGAAUGAAAACAGGAGUAAAACAGAACCCAAAGGAGGAUUAUAGCCCGGGAGGAAGGGAAAUCAGAUUGAGAAGGAAUAAUCAGUGAUAUGAGGAAAACCGGGAGGAAAUUGUACCUGGAAAGCUUAAAAACUAUCUAAAAGAAGGGGGAAAUAAAGCAUUAGAUAUUACUGAACUGAUAUGAGGACCAAGAGAUAUCUCAUGCUUCUCAAACUUGAAUGCGCAUAGGAAUCAUUUGGUGUCUCAUUAACAUGCACACUAUGAUUCAGGAGGUCUGGAUGUGGAAGUUCUAAAAAGGUCCCAGGUGAUGUCCAUGUCAAUGCUACCGGUCCACUUGGAGUGGCAAAAGUUGAGGCCAGAGUGGUUCUCAAAGCACUGUUCCUGAACCAGCAACAUCAGCAUCCCCAGGAACCUGUUAGACACGCACAUUAGUGGCUGCGUCCAGACCCACAGAAUCAGAGAGAGGGGAGAUGGGGUGGGGCGUAAGGCAGAGGUGGGGCGGCAAUCUGUUUCAACAAGCUCACCAGGUGAUUCUGAUGCACGCUGAAGACUGACAGCCACUGGUGAGAGCAAUGAUAACAAUAAUAAUAAUGACCACCACAGACAUUGAUCACCAGCUUUGGGCCAGGCCUGUUAACACAUUUCUUACAUCAUCUUAUUAGGUCCUCACAACAAUUUCUUUCAUCGAUGAGGAAAAUAAGACUGAGAGAGGUUAAGUACUUUGCCAAGGUCAUACAACUAGCAAGUUGUAGAUCCAAGAAACCACGUCUGUCUGGCACCCAGUUCUGUUCUCAGGCUGCUUUGCCAACUCACCCUCAAGGGUCAACAGUGAUAUCACUAUAAACAAUUUCAGCAAGUAUGAAGUCAGAAGCAGAUUGCGGCAGCUUUGGAAGGGAGGGAGUGGAGAAGUGGGUGCAGAAUACUUUUUUCAAAAACUUAGAGUUUGAAGGAGAGGAGAGAAAGUGAAACCUGGAAGCCUAAAGACCUCGGCAUAACAUGAAAACUUCCUGGUCUCUCCACUAUGGACGCCCAGGCCAUUGGAAAGGAAGCCCAAAUGAAAGCCCUCUGCCUUCCAAGAAAAUGAACAGAACUCACCAGAGAAAUAGCAUUUCAACCUGGUGGUGCCUUUGGAAGCAGGGCUAUUAACAGUAGACCACUAGGAGGCAGCAUGGAACUGGGAAUCAGGAGCCUGGGCUCUGGUACUGCUCUGCACUGGCCGUCCCCAUGAUUGUCAGGUAAACUCUUUGAGCUUCACUUUCCAAAUCAUAAACACGCCACAAUUUUGCAACAGCUAUUGUUUUUAGAAUUUGGUUAAGACUGUGACCCACUUGGAAGGCAUACUGUACGGAGACACUGGUUGGGAGUACAAGGGUAGGCCACCAAGGGUCUAUUUGUGUGAAAGAAGCUGGAGCUUCCUGGGGACUCUCCAUUCUUGGGCACAAUGGUUUGGUCCAAGCGCAGCAAGUGUCAGGAUAAGGAAGGGCCUUUGAGUACAGCCAGGAGUGUGUUGCUCCCUCAGCCCUCCAGCUUCUUCCUACACCUAAUGUGGGAUGUGACAUGGUCAGUUCUUAGGGCAGGGUAUAUGCAGGUAAAUAUCCUGUUAGUUUGUAAGAAGACAUGAUUGCCUCAGGGAUCAGAAUACUCCUAUCUCUGCACAAGUGGGGCAAAGCACUGAAUCUCUCUGUGACUCCACCUUCUUCAUGUCUAAAAUGGGGGAAAUAAUAGUAUCUAUUUUCCAAAAUUGUCGUGAAGAUUAAACGAGUUAACACAUAAAGCAUUUGACAGAGUGCCAGACGCAUAGUGAGCACUUGGGUGUUAGCUGUUUUGAAAAUGCACUUGCCU